Molecule: long non-coding RNA, 402 nt
Organism: Papaver somniferum (opium poppy)
Lineage: Eukaryota; Viridiplantae; Streptophyta; Magnoliopsida; Ranunculales; Papaveraceae
Exons: 3
Source: RefSeq, a predicted model, not a curated record
UUAUUGUAAGAAGUUGAAAGAUGUGAUUGGUGGUCUAAGGACUACAUAUAGUGGUUUCUGAGAUGGAUUCCAUUGUCUCUGCUGUUGUAGCUGAUGGACAAGCUCUCCUUCUUUUUGCAUGUGCAGUAACAUGGUUUUCAAUCUAAGGAGGAGUCAAUUGCGACUUUGGAAAAGAAUGUUAGUACUCUGAGGUUGUUAAGGCAUAUCGAUGAGAAAAAUCAAUAAAAUUCAGUGAAAGCAGGAGAUUUGGAUCAAGUUAGGUUCAUUGCUAAGAAGCAGCUCCAAAACUUUAGUUAUUUUCCUUGAGGCAGCACCAAUGCCUGUGACUUGGGAAUUCGAGUGGAUUCGACACUCAAGAGAGAUAAAAUGCUCAAGAUUGAGACCCGGUGGUGAAAUACGACC